RNAcentral lists this transfer RNA (82 nucleotides) under Leifsonia sp. Root227. It matches the Rfam family "tRNA". Rfam says of the family: Transfer RNA (tRNA) molecules are approximately 80 nucleotides in length. Their secondary structure includes four short double-helical elements and three loops (D, anti-codon, and T loops). The record is from Rfam by way of RNAcentral. Lineage: Bacteria; Bacillati; Actinomycetota; Actinomycetes; Micrococcales; Microbacteriaceae.
GGCCGCCUGGUGGAACAGGUAUACACGCGUGAUUCAAAAUCACGUGCCGUAAGGCGUGAGGGUUCGAACCCCUCGGCGGCCA